RNAcentral lists this ribosomal RNA (1257 nucleotides) under Triticum aestivum (bread wheat). RNAcentral describes it as "partial small subunit ribosomal RNA". Lineage: Eukaryota; Viridiplantae; Streptophyta; Magnoliopsida; Poales; Poaceae. The record is from RNAcentral.
UUUGCGCAGGUGUUGCAUGCUGGCAGUGGAAACAAGAAUGCGUUUAAGGCACUCAUUGCCGCUGAAUACAGCGGCGUCAAUGUUGAGCUGGUGAAGGACUUUCAGAUGGGUGUCUCCAACCAUACUCCAGACUUUCUCAAGAUGAAUCUUAUCGAAAAGGUUCCUCUUCUUGAGACUCCUGACGGUCCUGUUUUUGAGAGCAAUGCCAUCGCACGAUAUGUUGCUCGCAUGAAGGCUGACAACCCACUUUACGGAUCUUCACUGAUGGAAUACGCGCACAUUGAGCAAUGGAUUGACUUUUCUGCCACGGAGGUUGAUGCUAACAUUGGAAAAUGGCUGUACCCACGUCUAGGAUUCUACCCAUAUGUUGCUGUGAUAGAGGACACAUUUAUUACUGCCUUGAAGAGAGCGUUGGGUGCCCUUGACACACACCUUGCAUCAAACACGUAUCUUGUUGGGCAUUCCGUGACUCUUGCUGAUAUUGUGAUGGCAUGCAACCUUUACCAUGGCUUCACUCGGAUCAUGACCAAGAGUUUCACAUCCGUGUUCCCUCACGUGGAAAGGUACUUCUGGACCAUGGUUAACCAGCCAAACAUGAAGAAGGUCAUGGGGGAUGUGAAGCAGGCAGAGUCCGUCCCACCAGUUCAAAAGAAGGCUGCGGCACCAAAGGAGCAAAAGCCCAAGGAUGCCAAGAAGGAAGCCAAGAAGGAGGCCCAGAAGCCAGAGCCAGUUGAGAAAGCAGAGGAGGAAGAGGAGGCACCAAAACCAAAGCCAAAGAAUGCUCUUGAUUUGCUUCCUCCAAGCAAAAUGAUCCUUGAUGAAUGGAAGAAGCUGUACUCCAACACCAAGACCAACUUCCGGGAGGUUGCCAUAAAAGGCUUCUGGGACAUGUAUGACCCGGAGGGCUACUCCCUGUGGUUCUGCGACUUCAAGUACAACGAGGAGAACACCGUGUCCUUCGUGACCAUGAACAAGGUGGGUGGGUUCCUGCAGCGGAUGGACUUGUGCCGCAAGUACGCCUUCGGCAAGAUGCUUGUGAUAGGCUCCCAGCCACCUUUCAAGGUCAAGGGGCUUUGGCUCUUCCGUGGCCCUGAGAUCCCCCAGUUUGUCAUGGACGAGGUGUACGACAUGGCCCUCUAUGACUGGGCAAAGGUUGAUCUCUCUGAUGCGGCGCAGAAGGAACGCGUCAGCGCCAUGAUCGAGGACCUCGAGCCGUUUGAGGGCGAGGCGCUGCUGGACGCGAAAUGCUUCAAGUGA